RNAcentral lists this ribosomal RNA (508 nucleotides) under uncultured Glomus. RNAcentral's name for it is "SSU rRNA". It matches the Rfam family "Eukaryotic small subunit ribosomal RNA", at positions 569 to 1078 of the family's 1831-position model. Lineage: Eukaryota; Fungi; Glomeromycota; Glomeromycetes; Glomerales; Glomeraceae. The record is from RNAcentral.
AGCAGCCGCGGUAAUUCCAGCUCCAAUAGCGUAUAUUAAAGUUGUUGCAGUUAAAAAGCUCGUAGUUGAAUUUCGGGGUUAGUAGGUUGGUCAUGCCUCUGGUAUGUACUGGUCUCACUGAUUCCUCCUUCCUGAUGAACCGUAAUGCCAUUAAUUUGGUGUUGCGGGGAAUUUGGACUGUUACUUUGAAAAAAUUAGAGUGUUUAAAGCAAGCUAACGCUUGAAUACAUUAGCAUGGAAUAAUGAAAUAGGACGUUCGACCCUAUUUUGUUGGUUUCUAGGAUUGACGUAAUGAUUAAUAGGGAUAGUUGGGGGCAUUAGUAUUCAAUUGUCAGAGGUGAAAUUCUUGGAUUUAUUGAAGACUAACUACUGCGAAAGCAUUUGCCAAGGAUGUUUUCAUUAAUCAAGAACGAAAGUUAGGGGAUCGAAGACGAUCAGAUACCGUCGUAGUCUUAACCAUAAACUAUGCCGACUAGGGAUCGGAUGAUGUUAAUUUUUUAAUGACUCA